RNAcentral lists this ribosomal RNA (490 nucleotides) under uncultured bacterium. RNAcentral describes it as "partial 16S ribosomal RNA". It matches the Rfam family "Bacterial small subunit ribosomal RNA", at positions 28 to 507 of the family's 1533-position model. The record is from RNAcentral.
GAUGAACGCUAGCGGCAGGCCUAAUACAUGCAAGUCGAACGGGAUCCAGAUCAAAGCUUGCUUUGGUUUGGUGAGAGUGGCGUACGGGUGCGUAACGCGUGAGCAACCUACCCUUGUCAGGGGGAUAGCCCGGCGAAAGUCGGAUUAAUACCGCAUGACAUCAUUGAGAGGCAUCUUUCGAUGAUCAAAGAUUUAUCGGACAAGGAUGGGCUCGCGUGACAUUAGCUAGUUGGUAAGGUAACGGCUUACCAAGGCUACGAUGUCUAGGGGCUCUGAGAGGAGAAUCCCCCACACUGGUACUGAGACACGGACUAGACUCCUACGGGAGGCAGCAGUAAGGAAUAUUGGUCAAUGGACGGAAGUCUGAACCAGCCAUGCCGCGUGCAGGAAGACGGCCCUAUGGGUUGUAAACUGCUUUUAUACGGGAACAAACGUCGGUACGUGUACCGGUCUGAGUGUACCGUAAGAAUAAGGAUCGGCUAACUCCGUG